GGUGGUAAUGCCGGAUGCUCCAUCACACUGCAUGGUGUGUUGGGAAAGCCUUUGCGGCAUGGGAUGGGGUCGCGUCCUAUCAGCUUGAUGGCGGGGUAACGGCCCACCAUGGCUUCGACGGGUAGCCGGCCUGAGAGGGCGACCGGCCACAUUGGGACUGAGAUACGGCCCAGACUCCUACGGGAGGCAGCAGUGGGGAAUAUUGCACAAUGGGCGCAAGCCUGAUGCAGCGACGCCGCGUGAGGGAUGGAGGCCUUCGGGUUGUAAACCUCUUUUGUUAGGGAGCAAGGCAUUUUGUGUUGAGUGUACCUUUCGAAUAAGCACCGGCUAACUACGUGCCAGCAGCCGCGGUAAUACGUAGGGUGCAAGCGUUAUCCGGAAUUAUUGGGCGUAAAGGGCUCGUAGGCGGUUCGUCGCGUCCGGUGUGAAAGUCCAUCGCUUAACGGUGGAUCCGCGCCGGGUACGGGCGGGCUUGAGUGCGGUAGGGGAGACUGGAAUUCCCGGUGUAACGGUGGAAUGUGUAGAUAUCGGAAA
Molecule: ribosomal RNA, 534 nt
Filed under: Bifidobacterium breve
Lineage: Bacteria; Bacillati; Actinomycetota; Actinomycetes; Bifidobacteriales; Bifidobacteriaceae
Description: bacterial SSU rRNA
Rfam family: Bacterial small subunit ribosomal RNA
Source: RNAcentral